UCCUAAAUGCGUAAUUUUGAAAUAUAAUCUUGCUGGAAUACUUACCUCAUCAGGAUAUCAGAACAUUCUUACAUGAACUCUGAUCUCUUGGCACCAGGCUAUCGAAAUUUAACAUCAGAACUGAUGGACUCAAAUCCAGGAAGAAAGAAUCCAAAUUAUUUCACUUUGGAAUUAAUCUAGGUUAAAUAUUGAUAUAUCUUGUUUAAAUUUCAAAUACC
RNAcentral lists this long non-coding RNA (218 nucleotides) under Bos taurus (domestic cattle). RNAcentral's name for it is "long non-coding RNA NONBTAT010667". Lineage: Eukaryota; Metazoa; Chordata; Mammalia; Artiodactyla; Bovidae. The record is from RNAcentral.